This is a long non-coding RNA of Mustela lutreola (European mink), 1651 nucleotides long. RefSeq lists it as uncharacterized. The transcript is spliced from 3 exons. The record is from RefSeq and is a predicted model, not a curated record. Lineage: Eukaryota; Metazoa; Chordata; Mammalia; Carnivora; Mustelidae.
GCGGCCGCGGGGUGCGCGCCUCCCGCGCGACCCCGCUGGUCUGAGGGGCGUGGUCCGAAGGGCCGGAAGGCCCCAGGCUGGGGUCCUGGCCCAGCUGCUGCACCGGAAAGGAGGGGCGGGCACCCGGGAGCGGGGAGAUAUUGAGGAGGGGGCUGAGGAGGUGACCUGAGGAGAAGGUGCUCGCGAGGGAGAGCAGGCUUCAGGGCAGACGAUCUGGAGGUGAGAAGUCCAAGAUCAAGAGUCAGCAGAGGUGGUUUCUUCUAAGGAGCCUGAGGGAAGAAUCUGUUCCAGGCCUCUCUCCUUGACUUGGUCUUCCUUAUACCAGUAAGCAUGUAGCUGAGCUACUGACUGCCCCAGAGUCUCCAAUCCAUACUUCCUGAUGAAAACUUGAUCCACGUCCAUGCAGAAGAGAAAAUCAACUUCAUAUUGGAUAUGGUCUUCAACGUGUUCACUGAUAGACUUCAUGCGCAUCAUACUGAUAUCUUGCCAUCGCUUCUCUCGCUUGAUUUUAAACACUUUGAUCGAACGGAGGCGACUCAGCUGUAUCCAAGGCAUUCUGGAGAAGUCAUCUAUCAGGACAUAAAUUAUGACUUUAUGGCCAACCAUGAAAAACUUAUCUGCAGAGAACAUAAAUUUCUUCAAAUAGUGGUCAAUGUAUCUGUGAAGCAAAUAAGAAAUAACUGAGUUCAUUAUCUUACAUUUUGGUGAAACACGUACUACUUUAAUUAUCCUGGCUUGUCCAAACAUACUAGUAAGCAAACCAAAUAUUAGAAGUACUUCUUGAGUUAUAGUUAAGUGGUGUAAAAGCAAGUGAAGUCAUCUGCUUUUCCUCUCCCUGACGAGGUUCUGCGAAUUAUAGGAAAGAAGAGGACUUCCUCAUGAGGGGGAAUGAAACUUGGUGAGGUCAGGAAACAGCAUCGAGCCCAGGGCAAGAUGACAGCCAGAGCCUUCAGGGUGAUCAGAGAAGAGGGACUUUGCUUUUCAGGUUGUAGGCAAGAAGGUCUUGAGGCAUUGCAAGAAUAGCGAGUAAUGUCUGCGGCUUGCUUUAUGAGGAGUCAGUUACAUAGAAAAGGUCACAGGUAGCCUAGUCAGCUACCGCUAUCUGCACUCUCUUGUUUUGCCUCAUGCUCUUUAAUAUAAUGCUAAGUUUGCAGGAUUAGAAAACAAAACUUUCUCAUUUCUCAUCCCUCCAAACAGUGAAAAUUAUCAGAACAAUACAUGAUCUGAGGUAACUUAAGAAAAGGAUGGGCGAUCAUACACGCCUCAGCCUCAAAUAAUAUUUAUAUAAUCCUUAAAAAUAAGUUCUGAAUAUUGACCUAAGUUUUAAGAAACAUAGUGGAUGGAGUCAGGAGAAAACUUUCUAGUUUGGAUUAUCUAAAACAUCUAAAUAAUUAAAGCAAGAUAAAUUAUGAAAAAUAUCACUUAAAAUAGUCUACUGAGUUGGAAACUAACAACUCAAGUGCAAAGAAAUACAAUUUAUCCACACUUUAUCCACAUUUUUUAUGGUUCAUGCUUUGGUGUUAUGUUUCAGAAAUCGUUUCCUGCCUAAAGUAGUGAAAAUAUGCUCCUAUGUUUUCCUCUAGUUGCUUUAUUGUUUUAACUUUCAUAUUAAGUUGGUUAUCCAUGUGAAUGAAUUUUUGUGUAUGACAUA